Medicago truncatula (barrel medic) is the source of this 89-nucleotide small nucleolar RNA. It matches the Rfam family "small nucleolar RNA snoR114". The record is from Rfam. Lineage: Eukaryota; Viridiplantae; Streptophyta; Magnoliopsida; Fabales; Fabaceae.
GGGCUAUGAAGACAGGCCAGUGCCAAAUGUGGUGACGGGUUUCAUCACUAUCGCUAACUUCGGUUGCGAAAAUUUGCACUUCUGAGCUC